UAAGCAAAAGCCAAAUCAGAGGCACCUAGCUGUUAAUUAGGAGAUUGUAAUAUAAUAAUUACUUGUUUAG
RNAcentral lists this transfer RNA (70 nucleotides) under Paratectonatica tigrina. RNAcentral describes it as "tRNA-Asn". Lineage: Eukaryota; Metazoa; Mollusca; Gastropoda; Littorinimorpha; Naticidae. The record is from RNAcentral.